GCGGGGGUAACUCAGCUGGUAGAGUCCCUGCCUUCCAAGCAGGAUGUCGCGGGUUCGAGUCCCGUCCCCCGCUCCA
Molecule: transfer RNA, 76 nt
Filed under: Chloroflexota bacterium
Lineage: Bacteria; Bacillati; Chloroflexota
Description: Chloroflexi bacterium tRNA-Gly
Rfam family: tRNA
About the family: Transfer RNA (tRNA) molecules are approximately 80 nucleotides in length. Their secondary structure includes four short double-helical elements and three loops (D, anti-codon, and T loops).
Source: RNAcentral